AAAAACUUGUUUAGGUGGUGUUUGGAAAUAAUUUGGCCAUGUGUGUGUACAGCAAUACAUUUGACUGCCCCGCCCACCCCAGGGCCAAUCUUGUAGUGAUCAGAGCUCAAGAGAAUGUGUCCAAUGUGGGUAUAUUUUUGCAAUAAAAGUGUCUGAGAUGACAUAUUUCUGAGAUGAUGAUGAAGUAGAAGGAGCAUUAAUCUAGAAUGUUUUCUUCUCCAACCCAACACAUGUCUUUGUGUCUUCCUUUGCUGGCCCCAUGAGGAUGUGCAUAAAUUUGACAGGAUAGUCUCCAAACUCUUUGGAAAUCUCAUCUACCGUACUAAUCCAGGAUUAAUCAUUAUAACUAUUAUAAUGUUUUAUACCCUCGCAAAUUGGACCGUAAACACGUAGCUUUCCUAGCGAAAUAAAUACAUGUACCCUGUUUUCGUUAUUUAAGUGUUUUUGACGCCCUUAUUACUCAUGUACGUAACAUGCAAUAUCCUGAAAAAGAGAUAAUUUGUACAUGUUUUUUGGUUGCGCAUGUUAUCUACUUGUCAAUGGAAGUCCCCCCCCCCCCACCCCGUCUAACUUCUGAUCACUAAGCAAUGUGUUCCCUUGAUAAGUUGGACAAAUUAUUGUACAAAGCAUGGGCUAUCUGAAUUUUCACCCAUGAAAUGGUACAUCUACAUGUAUAGCGUAAGAUAGCUAGGCAAGUGUCCAAGCAAAAAAACAAAACAAAUAAACUACUGUAAGUUGAGGAAAGAGUUGGUUAAGCAGGAACUUGUUGUCUUAUCAAUGAAUCAGUGAAUCUGGUUAAUUCUACAUACAAUGUAUGAAAUGCUUUUUUGGUGGGGGGAGGGAGGGGUUUAGCUCAAUGGAUCAAUUUGUAUACAUUGUACACUGUAGGAACAAUCCUGUAUGAAACCCACACAGUGAAAGUUUGUUUACAUUACAAAGAAAUUGCAGUGGGUCAUACAUGUAUCUGCCUCAUAUGGUAAUUAUGGGCAGGGUACUAUUCCUCCAUGAUAAAACAUGUUAUUAACUGUUUACUGAGUUUGGCUGGACAUAAACUACAUGUUCAAGAACAAUGGAAAGACAUGAAUUGUACAGCUUCAGUAAAAUAGUGCAUUCAUCCCUUAUUGCAUCACAAGUAUUGAAUGCAUGUUGAUUGUUCACUGACCCAGCACAAAUAGAUAUGUGUGGGACUGUAAUGACAAUUUUUGCAGUAAGAAAUCAUAUUUUGAGAAGGGUUUUAAGACAGAGAAAAAAUAAUACACUUCCAAUUU
This is a long non-coding RNA of Lytechinus variegatus (green sea urchin), 1268 nucleotides long. RefSeq lists it as uncharacterized. The transcript has 3 exons. Lineage: Eukaryota; Metazoa; Echinodermata; Echinoidea; Temnopleuroida; Toxopneustidae. The record is from RefSeq and is a predicted model, not a curated record.